GGGAAGAUACCGAAGUGGAAAACGAGGCGAUCUUUAAAACCCUUAGCUUAGAUUUCGUGGGUUCGAAUCCCACUUUUCCCA
Molecule: transfer RNA, 81 nt
Filed under: Anaerococcus hydrogenalis ACS-025-V-Sch4
Lineage: Bacteria; Bacillati; Bacillota; Tissierellia; Tissierellales; Peptoniphilaceae
Description: tRNA-Tyr
Rfam family: tRNA
About the family: Transfer RNA (tRNA) molecules are approximately 80 nucleotides in length. Their secondary structure includes four short double-helical elements and three loops (D, anti-codon, and T loops).
Source: RNAcentral